Molecule: unclassified non-coding RNA, 340 nt
Filed under: Hevea brasiliensis (rubber tree)
Lineage: Eukaryota; Viridiplantae; Streptophyta; Magnoliopsida; Malpighiales; Euphorbiaceae
Source: RNAcentral
AGAAUCCGUCCAUGAUGAUCUAGAGUCAGUCAUUUCUAAUGGAGAAAGUGCCAGUUAUGGUCAGUUUACCGAAUUGGUUCGACUUUUUGAGGGAGACAGGAUGCAUGAUCUCAUCAUUCGAAGGUUUCUUUCGGGUUUGGGUUCGAUCGGCGAAUUUACCAGAGUCUUCGCCGUUCACAGGAACACGUAUUCUGGCAUCAUGGGGCAAGCCAGGAUGCAAUCGUUUCAAAUUUUCGUAAAAGCAAUGGAGAAGCAGCGCGGUGGUAAUGCAAAUGUGAAGUAUGCUUGGUUUGGCGCUACAGCAGACGAGAUAUGCAACAUAAUGAAGAAUGGUUUUGGU